GAAAAAAAAGUAUGACAGAUAAAAAAUUGAACAUUUCCUUCUCUCCCAUAUGUCAUUAAUAUCAUCUUUAGUCGAUCGGUGGCAGUGUAGCUUUUUCUUCCAAGCUCCCCAUAAAAGCCGCUAUGUUUUUAGUUCCCCUCGAUACGGCUUUGUUCAGAUGGCGGUACGAUGGAUGCACGACAUCGACGGGAAUUCUCGGCUACACGUGGCGGAAUUACGUACUUAAAUACUAUGUCGCGCAGACUAGAAGCGUCACAUCGCUCUCAGGAUCACAGUAGUGAUCUCUUAAGUUCAUCUCGCGUGACAAUCGUGGGUUCUCUCCUUCGCAUAAGCCCGACGACGCCGCUGGAUAUCCUAGACACAAAUUCAACGAAAUUAAAUCCGCGCAUUCUGGUCGUACUUUGCGUACAUUGUCGAGUGUAAUUGAUUACCGGCUGUAAAUCUCUCGUGGAUUGUGGUUGAAAUAUCUAACACGAACGACACGUUAAAAGAGGAAAACUUAGCGUGUUUGAGAGCGGUGUUUUAAUUUUUAUAUUUGAUGUUCCCCAGCGAUACGGCGGCAAUUGUGAGACGCAGCUGAUCACAUGUCACGCGUCUUCCAAAAUCACACGUGUCACACAUCUGUCAUAUUCGCGGACGCAGCGCGAAUAUAUUUCAUAUGCGUAUUUUCAUCAAAGGAUAUACAAUAAGGACGAGUUUGAUUGAUUAAACAGUGUACAGCCACAUGUGGAUAACCUCGACGUGGCUUCUCUCGCAUGACAUAAUACGUUGAUACGUGUAUUGCGUGUGUAAACGACAUAUAUACAAGAUACCCGAUACUGCAAAAUGGAAAAUGUAUCGAUGUUCUUUGGAACGAAAAAUCCCAAUUGUCCGGAGCAUCUUUGACGAAGCUGAGGUUGUUAAUGCCCUCAUCGAUCAUGGAUUGUGUAAGUUUCAUUCACAUGAUCCACGUCGAAGCUACAGGGACACAGGUUCAUUUGGACACAGUCACUUAUAUCGACCCGUGCUUAGGAUAUCUAGAUACGAUUGACCAAUCAAAGAGUCUGUGUUUAACUGAUAAUAAGUAAUGCAUCCAAUUGAAUGCCAUCCAAAGUAGCAGACUAAUCGGAUAUCGUUUGAACGCGGUGCGGAAACUGGGGCUCCCAGUCGAGAUCCCAGGAUCACAACUGAUUACAAGCAACUGGCCUUGAAGACGUCAUUAAGAAGUGGCUGCACUUGUCAUAAUUGUUUCAUUAUCCUCGAUCUAAGCGAUCUAAACGAGCCCGAAGAACGCACGUGUCACGUAAACGAUUGUAAAUCUCGAAUUAUCGAGGGAGAAAUAUCGAUUAAAUCUGGAACGUACGUACCUCCCGAAGGUACAGAAUGCGAUUUGUACGCGCGAGGUUAUCUUCAUAUUAUCUCUCUGAUGCGAUACCACGCUGACGAGCAUAAUGUGACGUUCUCGAUAAACAAUUUCUUUUUUUUUUUUUUUUUUGCGAUUCACGCCAACUAUGCCGCAAUGUAUAUGUGCUAAUUGUAUCAUCGAUAGCGUGUGUAAUAGAGGUGCUAUUAACGGUUAUAUAUCUUCAUGGAACUGUCGCAUAUAUUAAAUUGCUUGCCCUCUGAAACUCUUGUCAGUAUAGUGGCAAUGUUUCUCGAUAACGCGUCAAUUAAUAGUGCAGACAAUAGUGUUGGAGGAAACGAACGGCCAGUGUGUUUAUCAGUAGUAGUACCAUGUAUGCGAUGCAAUUGCCCAAGUCAGAAACCGCAGCAGACUCGCUGCCAAUUAUUCAAUGGCGUCAAGGAUAUUAUAUUUGAGCUAUGUCUUCACUCGCAGAAAGCACAAGAGAUCUAGCGGUAAAACUGGAUGACACUUUCAUCGACGUUCCACGGAUAUCUUCUUUAGCAGCAUUAUUUCUUUGAUAGUCAAACCAAAGAUCUUUGAUGAACAUCUUUGAUGAACAUCUUUGAUGCGCAUCUUUGGAUCCUUGAAGUUUAGGAAAAUUAAGAUUCUAAAUAAUUUACUUGAAACAUUGACGUUAAAAUAGAAACCGACGAGGGUGAAUUUGGGGGAAAACCUUGUGUAUCAUAUAAGAUUUUCGCGUUUGAUAUCUCAUGUAAAUUCUUUUGAGCCUUCGCGCUUAUUUUAGGACAUGCCGUGACUACGUAAUUCAUACAUAACUAAAUAAUACUACGUAACAUAUUUUUUGAGAAUAUUAUGCAAUUUCAAUACAUCUUAUAGUUCCCUUAGUCAACUCGCAAGGCAAGAGCGAGAAACGUAAGACUAACCUUUAAG
Long non-coding RNA from Camponotus floridanus (Florida carpenter ant), 2275 nucleotides. RefSeq lists it as uncharacterized. The transcript is spliced from 4 exons. The record is from RefSeq and is a predicted model, not a curated record. NCBI's taxonomy places the organism in Eukaryota, Metazoa, Arthropoda, Insecta, Hymenoptera, Formicidae.